Molecule: long non-coding RNA, 239 nt
Filed under: Gallus gallus (chicken)
Lineage: Eukaryota; Metazoa; Chordata; Aves; Galliformes; Phasianidae
Source: RNAcentral
ACCAAGAGAGACUGAUAAGUAAAGGCUUGGAAUAUAAACAUGGAAAAGACUACACAGUUCUACAGAAAUUCCUGAAAUAAGAAAGUGGUCAAGCACUGGAGCAAGUUUCACAGCAAGUCUGUGGGAUGUCAGUCUUUGGAGAUACUCAAAACCUUGACUGAGCGUGUUCCUGAACAACCUUGCUGUAGCUGACCCUGUUUGCGCAGGACAAUGGAGUAGGCCAUUUUCCAGCCCCAACC